AACGAACGCUGGCGGCAUGCCUAACACAUGCAAGUCGAACGAGACCUUCGGGUCUAGGGGCGCACGGGUGCGUAACGCGUGGGAACCUGCCCUUAGGUUCGGAAUAACUCCCCGAAAGGGGUGCUAAUACCGGAGAAUGUCUUCGGACCAAAGAUUUAUCGCCGUUGGAUGGGCCCGCGUUGGAUUAGCUAGUUGGUAGGGUAAAAGCCUACCAAGGCGACGAUCCAUAGCUGGUCGGAGAGGAUGAUCAGCCACAAUGGGACUGAGACACGGCCCAGACUCCUACGGGAGGCAGCAGUGGGGAAUAUUGGACGAUGGGCGAAAGCCUGAUCCAGCAAUGCCGCGUGAGUGAUGAAGGCCUUAGGGUUGUAAAGCUCUUUUACCCGGGAUGAUAAUGACAGUACCGGGAGAAUAAGCUCCGGCUAACUCCGUG
This 433-nucleotide ribosomal RNA is filed under the name uncultured bacterium. Its description in RNAcentral is "partial 16S ribosomal RNA". It matches the Rfam family "Bacterial small subunit ribosomal RNA", at positions 29 to 507 of the family's 1533-position model. The record is from RNAcentral.